RNAcentral lists this unclassified non-coding RNA (240 nucleotides) under soil metagenome. Its description in RNAcentral is "partial contains 5.8S ribosomal RNA, internal transcribed spacer 2, and large subunit ribosomal RNA". The record is from RNAcentral.
AACCAUAGAAACCUGCGGAGUACCUGCGGAGGGAUCAUUACAGAGUUGCAAAACUCCCACAAACCAUCGCGAAUCUUACCCGUACGGUUGCCUCGGCGCUGGCGGUCCGGAAGGCCCUCGGGCCCCCGGACCCUCGGGUCUCCCGCUCGCGGGAGGCUGCCCGCCGGAGUGCCGAAACCAAACUCUUGAUAUUUUAUGUCUCUCUGAGUAAACUUUUAAAUAAGUCAAAACUUUCAACAA